AUUGAACGCUGGCGGCAGGCCUAACACAUGCAAGUCGAACGAGUGUCGGACGGGUGAGUUAUACUUGGGAAUGUCGGUUAUAUAGGGAUAUAACUACGGGAAACUGUAACUAAUCCCGCUUACCCUAGGGUGGGCACAAGUUGGUUUAGGUAGUUGGUGAGGUAAAGGCGCACCAAGCCGACGAUCUCUAGCUGGUCUGAGAGGAGGACCAGCCACACUGGGACUGAGACACGGCCCAGAAUCAUACGGGAGGCAGCAGUGGGGAAGAUUGCGCAAUGGGCGAAACCUGACGCAGCCAUGCCGCGUGAAUGAAGAAGGCCUUCGGGUUGUAAAGUUCUUUCGGUAGCGAGGCGUUAACUACAGAAGAAGCACCGGCUAACUCCGUGCCAGCAGCCGCGGUAAUAC
Molecule: ribosomal RNA, 405 nt
Filed under: uncultured bacterium
Lineage: Bacteria
Description: partial 16S ribosomal RNA
Rfam family: Bacterial small subunit ribosomal RNA
Source: RNAcentral